UACGUAGGGGGCAAGCGUUGUCCGGAUUUAUUGGGCGUAAAGAGCGUGUAGGCGGCCAAGCAGGUCAGCUGUGAAAACUCGAGGCUCAACCUCGAGACGUCGGUUGAAACCGCUUGGCUAGAGUCCGGAAGAGGAGAGUGGAAUUCCCGGUGUAGCGGUGAAAUGCGCAGAUAUCGGGAAGAACACCCGUGGCGAAGGCGGCUUUCUGGGCAUUUCCUGACGCUGAGACGCGAAAGCGUGGGGAGCGAACCGG
RNAcentral lists this ribosomal RNA (253 nucleotides) under uncultured bacterium. RNAcentral describes it as "partial 16S ribosomal RNA". It matches the Rfam family "Bacterial small subunit ribosomal RNA", at positions 524 to 776 of the family's 1533-position model. The record is from RNAcentral.